UACAGAGGGGGCAAGCGUUGCUCGGAAUUACUGGGCGUAAAGGGCGCGUAGGCGGUCCGGCAAGUCGGUUGUGAAAUCCUCCGGCUCAACCGGAGAACGUCGAUCGAUACUGCCGUUCUUGAGGGUUGCAGAGGAGACUGGAAUUCCCGGUGUAGCGGUGAAAUGUGUAGAGAUCGGGAGGAACACCGGUGGCGAAGGCGGGUCUCUGGGCAAUUACUGACGCUGAGGCGCGAAAGCGUGGGGAGCAAACGGG
RNAcentral lists this ribosomal RNA (253 nucleotides) under uncultured bacterium. RNAcentral's name for it is "partial 16S ribosomal RNA". It matches the Rfam family "Bacterial small subunit ribosomal RNA", at positions 524 to 776 of the family's 1533-position model. The record is from RNAcentral.